Molecule: ribosomal RNA, 468 nt
Filed under: uncultured bacterium
Lineage: Bacteria
Description: partial 16S ribosomal RNA
Rfam family: Bacterial small subunit ribosomal RNA
Source: RNAcentral
GACGAACGCUGGCGGCGUGCUUAACACAUGCAAGUCGAACGGAAAGGCCCUGCUUUUGUGGGGUGCUCGAGUGGCGAACGGGUGAGUAACACGUGAGUAACCUGCCCUUGACUUUGGGAUAACUUCAGGAAACUGGGGCUAAUACCGGAUAGGAGCUCCUGCUGCAUGGUGGGGGUUGGAAAGUUUCGGCGGUUGGGGAUGGACUCGCGGCUUAUCAGCUUGUUGGUGGGGUAGUGGCUUACCAAGGCUUUGACGGGUAGCCGGCCUGAGAGGGUGACCGGCAACAUUGGGACUGAGAGACGGACGAGAGUACUACGGGAGGCAGAAGGGGGGAAUAUUGAACAAUGGGCGGAAGUCUGAUGCAGCAACGCCGCGUGCGGGAUGACGGCUUUCGGGUGGUAAAACGCUUGCGCAUGUGACGAAGAGGGAGUGACGGUAAUGGGUAAAGAAGCACCGGCUAACUACGUG